Molecule: RNA transcript, 1274 nt
Organism: Panicum virgatum (switchgrass)
Lineage: Eukaryota; Viridiplantae; Streptophyta; Magnoliopsida; Poales; Poaceae
Gene name: ylmG homolog protein 1-2, chloroplastic-like
Exons: 3
Source: RefSeq, a predicted model, not a curated record
GCGGGGCCCACCCUGCGGGAUCGCAAAACCAUAUCCUCUUCUUCCCCUGGCACGGCGGCCGCGUCCGUCGCCUCCCUCCACCGCCCUUCCCCCUCCCCUCUCCCAGACGCUUCUAGAAACUUCCAGAGCCCCGCCCCGCCGCCUCCGGUGACGCGGCGCGAUGUACGGCCUCCUGACCUCGCCGUGCCCUCGGGCCCCGCUGCUCCGCGCCCUCCCGAGCCCGUCCGCCCGCGCGCUCCCGAGAACCCUAGCGUUCCCCGCGCGCCCGGUCCCCCGCGGCCUCCGCCUGUCCCCGCCCCCGCGCGCCGCCGCGGAGGCGUCGGCGGCGGCCACGGCGCUGGGCGGGCUGCUGUCCUCGCCGCUCUCGGCGCUGGAGGCCGGCUUGCGGAGCGUCAACCUCGCGCCCCUGCGCGCCCCCGUGGCCGCGGCCAUGUCGGCGGCCGUGCGGUGGCUCGGCGUGUACCGCGAGGUGCUGCUCGUCGGCGUGCUGCUCUCCUGGUUCCCCAACAUCCCCUGGGACCGCCAGCCCUUCUCGGCCCUGCGCGACCUCUGCGACCCCUUCCUCGCCCUCUGCCGGGAGGUCAUGCCGCCGGUGUUCGGGCGCAAGCUCGACCUCAGCCCGCUCGUUGCGUUCAUGGCGAUUGACAUCAUUAUUAUGAUCCUGCGCCCGCAGCCACGCAUGUGAUGGCUUUCUCCGGCAACGCAAAAUCUGUCUUGAAGCUUAACUUUCUUCAGCACGCCAUUAUGUGCCUGUCUCGUGGCGAGGCAACACAGGAGGGUUUGUUGGUGCCAUGGCUGUGCUGAGCCACUUCAGCUGAUUCCGACUAGUGAUGAGAAUGAUGUUGCAGGGAUUGGAGAAUGGUGGUUGGUAUAUUAGGUUUUGACUAUGUGAACGAUGGAUGGAUCAUAGGCUAUUUUUGGUCAUCAGAUGGCAAAGAAAGGUGCUGCUUUAUUCUAAGGCAAAGAAAGUGGUGGUUGGAUGGAUUAGCUUUGGUACCCCAGUAUAGCUGUUACAAUGGUAGUAGUGCAAUAUGAAUGAUUUCGAGACGUCAGUAGACAAGUGUAGCUUUAUGCUAGAACUUCUUCUAUUUGCGAUAUUUGAUGGUUGCAGUAGUCUGUAGACUGAAUUUGUUGGCUACAUAUUGCAGUUUUGCUCUGUAUCCAUCCAUUAUUCCAUUAUAUUGUCUGGCAGUAUAAUUUGCACUUCUUUUUGGUAAGACCCAGAUAAUUGGAUCUGGAGCGUAAAAGUCAAAGAGCCCAUUUGAUGAUUUGAA